Molecule: ribosomal RNA, 316 nt
Filed under: uncultured Oscillospiraceae bacterium
Lineage: Bacteria; Bacillati; Bacillota; Clostridia; Eubacteriales; Oscillospiraceae
Description: partial 16S ribosomal RNA
Source: RNAcentral
GGAGUCUGGGCCGUAUCUCAGUCCCAAUGUGGCCGUUCAACCUCUCAGUCCGGCUACUGAUCGUCGCCUUGGUAUGCCGUUACCACACCAACUAGCUAAUCAGACGCAAGCCCAUCUAUCAGCGGAUUACUCCUUUCCCGUUUGUUACAUGCGUAACUCACGGCAUAUGCGGUAUUAGCAGUCAUUUCUAACUGUUGUUCCCCUCUGAUAGGCAGGUUGUUUACGUGUUACUCACCCUUUCGCCGGUCGCCGGCAUGUAUUGCUACACCCGCUGCCCCUCGACUUGCAUGUGUUAAGCCUGCCGCUAGCGUUCAUC